GGGUCUAUGAUGACAAACCAAUGUCUCGAAGCGAAAUGAUGACAUAAAAAUCAUGCUCAAUAGGAUUACGCUGAGGCCC
This is a small nucleolar RNA of 79 nucleotides. Its record names the gene SNORD115. It matches the Rfam family "Small nucleolar RNA SNORD115". From Rfam's summary of the family: HBII-52 is a member of the C/D class of snoRNAs, which contain the C (UGAUGA) and D (CUGA) box motifs. The record is from Ensembl.